RNAcentral lists this ribosomal RNA (789 nucleotides) under uncultured bacterium. RNAcentral describes it as "bacterial SSU rRNA". It matches the Rfam family "Bacterial small subunit ribosomal RNA", at positions 1 to 766 of the family's 1533-position model. The record is from RNAcentral.
CGCCCUUAGAGUUUGAUCAUGGCUCAGAACGAACGCUGGCGGCGUGGAUAAGACAUGCAAGUCGAACGAGAAACUUUUGGAGCUUGCUUUGGAAGUUUCUAGUGGCGAACGGGUGAGUAACACGUGAGCAACCUGCCCAGAAGAGGGGGAUAGCCCGGGGAAACUCGGAUUAAUACCGCGUAUGGUCCCUCAGGACAUCCUGAGACGAUUAAAGGUGGCCUUUGUGCUGCCGCUUCUGGAUGGGCUCGCGGCCUAUCAGCUUGUUGGUGAGGUAACGGCUCACCAAGGCGACGACGGGUAACUGAUCUGAGAGGAUGAUCAGUCACACUGGAACUGAGACACGGUCCAGACACCUACGGGUGGCAGCAGUCGAGAAUCAUUCGCAAUGGGCGAAAGCCUGACGGUGCGACGCCGCGUGGAGGAUGACGGCCCUAGGGUUGUAAACUCCUGUCAUCAGAGAGUAAUGUCUCAAGCAGUAACUGGCUUGGGGAGUGAUAGUAUCUGAAGAGGAAGGGACGGCUAACUUCGUGCCAGCAGCCGCGGUAAUACGAAGGUCCCAAGCGUUGUUCGGAUUUACUGGGCGUAAAGCGUCUGUAGGCGGCGCGGUAAGUCAGAUGUGAAAUCCCGGGGCUCAACCCCGGAACUGCAUCCGAUACUGCCGUGCUUGAGGGUCGGAGGGGAGUCUGGAAUUCUCGGUGUAGCAGUGAAAUGCGUAGAUAUCGAGAGGAACACUAGUGGCGAAGGCGAGACUCUGGACGACACCUGACGCUGAGAGACGAAGGCCAGGGU